Molecule: small nuclear RNA, 105 nt
Organism: Jaculus jaculus (lesser Egyptian jerboa)
Lineage: Eukaryota; Metazoa; Chordata; Mammalia; Rodentia; Dipodidae
Source: RefSeq, a predicted model, not a curated record
GUUCACUUCAGUAGUACCUUUGCUAAAAUUGGAAAGAGACAAAUUAGAUUAACAUGGCUCCUGUUCAAGGAUGGCAAACAAAUUCCUGAAGUGUUCCAUUUUUUA